This 675-nucleotide ribosomal RNA is filed under the name uncultured cyanobacterium. RNAcentral's name for it is "bacterial SSU rRNA". It matches the Rfam family "Bacterial small subunit ribosomal RNA", at positions 344 to 1032 of the family's 1533-position model. The record is from RNAcentral. Lineage: Bacteria; Bacillati; Cyanobacteriota.
GAAUUCGCCCUUGGGGAAUUUUCCGCAAUGGGCGAAAGCCUGACGGAGCAAUACCGCGUGAGGGAGGAAGGCUCUUGGGUUGUAAACCUCUUUUCCCAGGGAAGAACAGAAUGACGGUACCUGAGGAAUAAGCAUCGGCUAACUCCGUGCCAGCAGCCGCGGUAAUACGGAGGAUGCAAGCGUUAUCCGGAAUGAUUGGGCGUAAAGGGUCCGCAGGUGGCAUUGUAAGUCUGCUGUUAAAGAGUUUGGCUCAACCAAAUAAGAGCAGUGGAAACUACAAAGCUAGAGUGUGGUCGGGGCAGAGGGAAUUCCUGGUGUAGCGGUGAAAUGCGUAGAUAUCAGGAAGAACACCAGUGGCGAAGGCGCUCUGCUAGGCCGAGACUGACACUGAGGGACGAAAGCUAGGGGAGCGAAUGGGAUUAGAUACCCCAGUAGUCCUAGCCGUAAACGAUGGAUACUAGGCGUAGCUCGUAUCGACCCGAGCUGUGCCGGAGCUAACGCGUUAAGUAUCCCGCCUGGGGAGUACGCAGGCAACUGUGAAACUCAAAGGAAUUGACGGGGGCCCGCACAAGCGGUGGAGUAUGUGGUUUAAUUCGAUGCAACGCGAAGAACCUUACCAAGGCUUGACAUGUCACGAAUCCUAUUGAAAGAUGGGAGUGCCUUCGGGAGCGUGAA